UUCAAAGAAGCAAAAUGCAGUAAAGAAAGAUAGCAGGACUUGAAAUAUAGCUUUGGCUUUCAGCCAACUAAACAGGCCACAUUACAAGUAGUAAAGCACGAGAUAGUGUUUGAAUGUAAGUGAGAUUUCAGAAUUAAAAGUGUUCGUAUGUGCUAAUGAAAGAGCAAGGUACUUAUAAUUUGAAAACAGGUAGAAAAUAAGGCAAGAAUCAUAGUUUAGCAGUAAUUAUGGAACUAUGUGCUAAUUAAAAUCAAAUCAGUAUAAGCACUUCCUUCAAUUAAGAAGUUAAAAUUUAAACGUUAAUG
RNAcentral lists this long non-coding RNA (305 nucleotides) under Nicotiana benthamiana. RNAcentral describes it as "long non-coding RNA (NBEN_LNC041680)". Lineage: Eukaryota; Viridiplantae; Streptophyta; Magnoliopsida; Solanales; Solanaceae. The record is from RNAcentral.